UUAAUUAAGAGGUAGGUGAGGCUACUGAUAGGAUAUGGGUUACCACCGCGUAUCGAUGGAGACAUUGAGAGUUGGUUAACAGUUUGGAUCGACGAUAAGGUUUAGACUAGUGUAAUUUCACCGCCUAUCAAAGCUAAAGCUUGAACGAUUGAUAGCUCA
Molecule: small RNA, 159 nt
Filed under: Facklamia languida
Lineage: Bacteria; Bacillati; Bacillota; Bacilli; Lactobacillales; Aerococcaceae
Also listed under: 1 other name
Description: Magnesium sequence
Rfam family: M-box riboswitch aptamer (ykoK leader)
About the family: M-box riboswitch, also know as ykoK leader is described as a metaloregulatory RNA that sense divalent metals and function as a genetic control element of genes related to divalent metal transport in bacteria. It was first reported upstream of the B.subtilis ykoK gene and genes with related functions in other bacteria.
Source: RNAcentral